CGCUAGCGACAGGCUUAACACAUGCAAGUCGAGGGGCAGCGGGGGUAGCGAUACCCGCCGGCGACCGGCGCACGGGUGAGUAACGCGUAUGCAACUUGCCUAUCAGAGGGGGAUAACCCGGCGAAAGUCGGACUAAUACCGCAUGAAGCAGGGGCCCCGCAUGGGGAUAUUUGCUAAAGAUUCAUCGCUGAUAGAUAGGCAUGCGUUCCAUUAGGCAGUUGGCGGGGUAACGGCCCACCAAACCGACGAUGGAUAGGGGUUCUGAGAGGAAGGUCCCCCACAUUGGUACUGAGACACGGACCAAACUCCUACGGGAGGCAGCAGUGAGGAAUAUUGGUCAAUGGCCGAGAGGCUGAACCAGCCAAGUCGCGUGAGGGAUGAAGGUUCUAUGGAUCGUAAACCUCUUUUAUAAGGGAAUAAAGUGCGGGACGUGUCCCGUUUUGUAUGUACCUUAUGAAUAAGGAUCGGCUAACUCCGUGCCAGCAGCCGCGGUAAUACGGAGGAUCCGAGCGUUAUCCGGAUUUAUUGGGUUUAAAGGGUGCGUAGGCGGCCUUUUAAGUCAGCGGUGAAAGUCUGUGGCUCAACCAUAGAAUUGCCGUUGAAACUGGGGGGCUUGAGUAUGUUUGAGGCAGGCGGAAUGCGUGGUGUAGCGGUGAAAUGCAUAGAUAUCACGCAGAACCCCGAUUGCGAAGGCAGCCUGCCAAGCCAUUACUGACGCUGAUGCACGAAAGCGUGGGGAUCAAACAGGAUUAGAUACCCUGGUAGUCCACGCAGUAAACGAUGAUCACUAGCUGUUUGCGAUACACUGUAAGCGGCACAGCGAAAGCGUUAAGUGAUCCACCUGGGGAGUACGCCGGCAACGGUGAAACUCAAAGGAAUUGACGGGGGCCCGCACAAGCGGAGGAACAUGUGGUUUAAUUCGAUGAUACGCGAGGAACCUUACCCGGGUUUGAACGCAUUCGGACCGAGGUGGAAACACCUUUUCUAGCAAUAGCCGUUUGCGAGGUGCUGCAUGGUUGUCGUCAGCUCGUGCCGUGAGGUGUCGGCUUAAGUGCCAUAACGAGCGCAACCCUUGCCACUAGUUACUAACAGGUAAAGCUGAGGACUCUGGUGGGACUGCCAGCGUAAGCUGCGAGGAAGGCGGGGAUGACGUCAAAUCAGCACGGCCCUUACAUCCGGGGCGACACACGUGUUACAAUGGCGUGGACAAAGGGAGGCCACCUGGCGACAGGGAGCGAAUCCCCAAACCACGUCUCAGUUCGGAUCGGAGUCUGCAACCCGACUCCGUGAAGCUGGAUUCGCUAGUAAUCGCGCAUCAGCCAUGGCGCGGUGAAUACGUUCCCGGGCCUUGUACACACCGCCCGUCAAGCCAUGGGAGCCGGGGGUACCUGAAGUCCGUAACCGAAAGGAUCGGCCUAGGGUAAAACUGGU
RNAcentral lists this ribosomal RNA (1431 nucleotides) under uncultured organism. RNAcentral describes it as "16S ribosomal RNA". It matches the Rfam family "Bacterial small subunit ribosomal RNA". The record is from RNAcentral.